Molecule: ribosomal RNA, 397 nt
Filed under: uncultured bacterium
Lineage: Bacteria
Description: partial 16S ribosomal RNA
Rfam family: Bacterial small subunit ribosomal RNA
Source: RNAcentral
AUACGUAGGGGGCGAGCGUUGUCCGGAAUGAUUGGGCGUAAAGGGCGCGUGGGCGGCCCGGUAAGUCUGGAGUGAAAGUCCUGCUUUUAAGGUGGGAAUUGCUUUGGAUACUGUCGGGCUUGAGUGCAGGAGAGGUAAGUGGAAUUCCCAGUGUAGCGGUGAAAUGCGUAGAGAUUGGGAGGAACACCAGUGGCGAAGGCGACUUACUGGACUGUAACUGACGCGGAGGCGCGAAGGUGUGGGGAGCAAACAGGAUUAGAUACCCUGGUAGUCCACGCUGUAAGCGAUGAAUGCUAGGUGUAGGGGGUAUCGACCCCUUCUGUGCCGCAGUUAACACAAUAAGCAUUCAGUCUGGGGAGCACGGCCGCAAGGUUGAAGCUCAAAUGAAUUGACGGGG